UGGAUUGGUUGGUAAAGUGCCUGGCU
Molecule: non-coding RNA, 26 nt
Filed under: Rattus norvegicus (Norway rat)
Lineage: Eukaryota; Metazoa; Chordata; Mammalia; Rodentia; Muridae
Source: RNAcentral